AUGAAAAUCAUAAGCCGGAACUGCCGGGGGCUCGGGAACGGCCCGGCAGUUCGCAGCCUCCUCGAGUUGGGGAGGAGAGAGGAGCCCGACAUACUUUUUCUUGCGGAGACGAAAUUGACAGUGAAGGAGUUAGAUAGAUUUCGAUGGAUGCUUGGGCUUACGCAAAUGACUGCGUGGAAUCCUGAAGGUAGAAGCCGGGGAGUGGCUCUGUUCUGGAGG
This 219-nucleotide ribosomal RNA is filed under the name Triticum aestivum (bread wheat). RNAcentral describes it as "partial small subunit ribosomal RNA". Lineage: Eukaryota; Viridiplantae; Streptophyta; Magnoliopsida; Poales; Poaceae. The record is from RNAcentral.